UUCAAGCGCCUUUUAAGGCUCCCACUCUAGCCCUGUUUUGAAAACUACAGUGAGAUUUCAUGUCAAACAAGGUACGUUCCUGCCCUCCCAUGGUUGACGAGCAGCGGCCGAGCAGCUGGAGUUCUUUCUGGCGUUUCGGGGAAGGACAGCGUUUGGGCGGCACUGGCCCCACCUCCUCCCAGUUCUGCGGGCAGCCCCGGCCCUGGAGCAGGCUGCCCAGGCUCGACGCUCAGCUCGUCACUCACAAGUGUCAGACCCAGGCAUGUUAUUGGUCCUCGGCAAGACUCAUUUUUCUCAUCCAAAAUGGAAAUCCUAAAAAAGCCUACCUAAUACGACUGUCACAAGGAUUAAAAAAAGAUUCGGUUUGUAAAGUGUCUACAUCAAGGCCUGGCACAUGGGUCUGUGUCUGGGGAACCUGCCUAAGACAGACGGUGCCAUAAGUAGUCCCAGGAAGCUGGCGAAGACAGGAUUCUGGGUGCAGCUCAUUUACCAGCAAGAUGGAAGAUGGGGACCCCCAUCUGUGGUGACCAUUUCCAGACAGCAUGUCCCAGUCGGUGUGGUGUUUGGACAGCAAAGGAUAACGUGCUAGCCAAGAGGCAGCUGCAGGAGGACACUUAAGCAUUAUAAAAAAGCAGGGACCUGAAGUUAGCAAGCCUGGACCUCAAAUCCUAGCUGCACCCCAGCCAGCUCUUCAACAUUGGCCACGUUUUAUCCCUGUCCGGACCAAGUUGCUGCUGCUGCUAAGUCACUUCAGUUGUGUCCAACUCUGUGUGACCCCACAGACAGCAGCCCACCAGGCUCCCUCGUCCCUGGGA
This is a long non-coding RNA of Bubalus bubalis (water buffalo), 815 nucleotides long. RefSeq lists it as uncharacterized. The record is from RefSeq and is a predicted model, not a curated record. The transcript is spliced from 3 exons. NCBI's taxonomy places the organism in Eukaryota, Metazoa, Chordata, Mammalia, Artiodactyla, Bovidae.